GCCUUCGUGGGGUAGCGGUCAGCACCCUCGUCCCGUAUUCGAGAGGUUCGUGGUUCGAGUCCCGGCGAAGGCA
Molecule: non-coding RNA, 73 nt
Organism: Stegodyphus mimosarum
Lineage: Eukaryota; Metazoa; Arthropoda; Arachnida; Araneae; Eresidae
Source: Rfam